Molecule: ribosomal RNA, 253 nt
Filed under: uncultured bacterium
Lineage: Bacteria
Description: partial 16S ribosomal RNA
Rfam family: Bacterial small subunit ribosomal RNA
Source: RNAcentral
UACGUAGGGUGCAAACGUUGCUCGGAAUCAUUGGGCGUAAAGCGCACGUAGGCGGCCUGUUAAGUCGGAUGUGAAAUCCCUCGGCUCAACCGAGGACGUGCAUUCGAAACUGGCAAGCUCGAGUAUGGAAGAGGGCCGCGGAAUUCCCGGUGUAGAGGUGAAAUUCGUAGAUAUCGGGAGGAACACCAGUGGCGAAGGCGGCGACCUGGGCCAAUACUGACGCUGAGGUGCGAAAGCGUGGGGAGCAAACAGG